Molecule: unclassified non-coding RNA, 257 nt
Filed under: fungal sp.
Lineage: Eukaryota; Fungi
Description: partial internal transcribed spacer region
Rfam family: Eukaryotic small subunit ribosomal RNA (bases 1-46)
Source: RNAcentral
AAGUCGUAACAAGGUUUCCGUAGGUGAACCUGCGGAAGGAUCAUUACACACAGUAGUUCUCUACUGCCUUUGGGGGAGUCCAAAAGCAUGCUUGCAUGCGAGUCCGCUCCCUUCUUAGACCCUUGUCUUUUGCGCACUCAUGUUUCCUCGGCGGGCCUGCCCGCCGGCUGGACAACCACAAAACCUUUUUUAAUGCUCAAUCAGCGUCUGAACAAUUAUAAUAAUUACAACUUUCAACAACGGAUCUCUUGGUUCUG